GGCUGGUCCAAAAGUAGUGAGUUAUCCUGACUGUUUCCAGGAAGCUUCAGAUAAAACUCCUUGUUCUCUUCUUUCCCUCUUCUCACUAUUGCACUUGACUAGAUUUUU
This 108-nucleotide Y RNA is filed under the name Carlito syrichta (Philippine tarsier). RNAcentral's name for it is "Y RNA (ENSTSYG00000035522.1)". It matches the Rfam family "Y RNA". Rfam says of the family: Y RNAs are components of the Ro ribonucleoprotein particle (Ro RNP), in association with Ro60 and La proteins. The Y RNAs and Ro60 and La proteins are well conserved, but the function of the Ro RNP is not known. In humans the RNA component can be one of four small RNAs -- hY1, hY3, hY4 and hY5. Lineage: Eukaryota; Metazoa; Chordata; Mammalia; Primates; Tarsiidae. The record is from Rfam by way of RNAcentral.